This 693-nucleotide ribosomal RNA is filed under the name Vibrio aestuarianus subsp. francensis. Its description in RNAcentral is "bacterial SSU rRNA". It matches the Rfam family "Bacterial small subunit ribosomal RNA", at positions 1 to 680 of the family's 1533-position model. The record is from RNAcentral. Lineage: Bacteria; Pseudomonadati; Pseudomonadota; Gammaproteobacteria; Vibrionales; Vibrionaceae.
UUAAUUGAAGAGUUUGAUCAUGGCUCAGAUUGAACGCUGGCGGCAGGCCUAACACAUGCAAGUCGAGCGGUAACAUUUCAAAAGCUUGCUUUUGAAGAUGACGAGCGGCGGACGGGUGAGUAAUGCCUAGGAAAUUGCCCUGAUGUGGGGGAUAACCAUUGGAAACGAUGGCUAAUACCGCAUGAUGCCUACGGGCCAAAGAGGGGGACCUUCGGGCCUCUCGCGUCAGGAUAUGCCUAGGUGGGAUUAGCUAGUUGGUGAGGUAAUGGCUCACCAAGGCGACGAUCCCUAGCUGGUCUGAGAGGAUGAUCAGCCACACUGGAACUGAGACACGGUCCAGACUCCUACGGGAGGCAGCAGUGGGGAAUAUUGCACAAUGGGCGCAAGCCUGAUGCAGCCAUGCCGCGUGUAUGAAGAAGGCCUUCGGGUUGUAAAGUACUUUCAGUCGUGAGGAAGGUGGUGUUGUUAAUAGCAGCAUCAUUUGACGUUAGCGACAGAAGAAGCACCGGCUAACUCCGUGCCAGCAGCCGCGGUAAUACGGAGGGUGCGAGCGUUAAUCGGAAUUACUGGGCGUAAAGCGCAUGCAGGUGGUUCGUUAAGUCAGAUGUGAAAGCCCGGGGCUCAACCUCGGAACUGCAUUUGAAACUGGCGGACUAGAGUACUGUAGAGGGGGGUAGAAUUUCAGGUGUAGCG